Molecule: unclassified non-coding RNA, 1856 nt
Filed under: Cyanidioschyzon merolae strain 10D
Lineage: Eukaryota; Rhodophyta; Bangiophyceae; Cyanidiales; Cyanidiaceae
Description: hypothetical transcript
Source: RNAcentral
AGCUGAUUUUUUACCUCUGACGAGGGGUUUCUAUUGUAUUUGGAAUCGCGUAUUGCGGGAUGGAUAUUACGAUUUAUGUAAGUGUUCAUCAGGAUGCUGAACUUCAAGUUCCAUGACAGAUACUUCCUUGCGGAUGUACUGGUCGUUUCGGACGUUCUAUCAUGAGUCUAGUGCCUGCAGUACGCAUACGCGUUAGCGCCGAGACCGCUGGAGCGGAUAUUUCAUAGAGCCCGAACGGCUUUGCCAUACGACUGGGGCGGGGGGUGUUGGCCCAAGGCAUGAUUCACUGGACAUCGGGGUCGGAGCGUAGAAUCAUUCUGGGAGCGUGCAAGCUGUGCAGACGCACUGCCUGUGGCAGCAGCGCGAAGCGAUAUACAAGGAGUACACUGCGACCAGGGCGAUGCCCAGACGCUGGCUAACUGCUCGAAAUCCCAGAAUAAGCGGCGUUUCUGACGAGUUGCCCAGGUCUCAAUAAAGCUCCUGCAACUGGGGGCCUGAAGCACAAGCCUGGCAGGCUCGUGCGACUCGCGGGACCUUACGUCCAGAAGGUAAACUCUCGACGAUACGGAAACCUUUGCCCCCUUUUAUCGUUUGUCGUAGAGGGGCAAAGAAAAUGUUAUCUCGCUACUAGUUUGUAACUAGUCUCUGUCCUUUUGGGUAUAUCAUGCGCUCGAUACGCGCACCUCCAUAUCUGGCAGUCACAAGACCUGACGUGUAUCGCGCCGAUGAAGGGAAACGCGAUCCUGAUCAUGAGCGUGUAGCUCCAACGUACAGGACGCAUUUGCGUUGAGGUCAUGCGAAAGUAUAGUAUUUCAUCCCAGAUGAGUUUCGACCCUCAAUGGAGUGUAUUCAAGUGAUUUUUCGCGGUUUAUAGUAGUAGCGUUCAAAGAGCAUUCUUUUCCAAAAACAAAAAAUCCAAGGGACAGGUAUCGACCUGGAUGUUGGGAAUCCUUAAGGGCCAUCAUCGUCGAAUUCGACGAAGAAUAACCGAAGAAGAAAUCCUCUUUUCGUCGACUAUCGAGCGAACAUGAGCGAACGAUGCGGACGAAGAAGACCGAGAAUGGAUGUAGGCGAGAAAGUGUGUGCCCGACGAGACGAUGACGAGACUGUAGUGGCACAGAGGGCGCGGGUUCUGGGAAUCCUUGGAAAAUUGCGUUCAGCCAGAGGCAAUAAACGUAUGGUGCUCGUGAACCGAGACUUUAACGCCGUCAUCAAUAUCAGACGAUGGGCGGUGCUGAAGACGAGACACGAGGAGCUUACGCGAUCUAGCUUUGUGGAGUAGCCUCUCAUGGGCGAUGUGUACAGGGAGAAGCUGAAACCGAUAGCAGGUCGCCUGUGUAGAUAGGCUGGGAGGCGUCUGCACGUGGGUGUCAGUUUACGAUCUCGAGGCGACGCCUCCAGUGGUGCGGAAAGGCCGUUCUGUCUGCGCUAAUGCGAGACGCGUGGUGGUUACCUGGGCCCUGCUUUUCCCUUAUAGGCUAUUACGUGAGCCCUUGGGCACCUUCAGCACAGAAACGUUUCCAGUCUGCAACGUGGCGGGAUAAGCGAGUCGAGCUCGGAGCGCUCCGUGUACAAUCACGCUGUCUCCUUUCGCAAGUUACGAUGCGUACCUGUUUCGCGGCUGGAUUUUUGGCACCAAAAGCGCUGUAGGUACCGGGUUCAGGUACAGUUCCAUCUCGCCAGAUGCUGUUGGUGUCGAAGGAUCGGCUUCAGGAGGAGGUAAGCGUCCGGCAUUGCGUACCAAGAGGUCUGCGACGAGGCGUUCAUCGCGCAGUUCGUCGCAUCAGCAGGCGGGCACUGCUUGUAAUCGACUGCCUGAGCGCUUCAUUGAGACGAUUCAUAAAAGCCAUCGUCGC